AACGAACGCUGGCGGCAGGCCUAACACAUGCAAGUCGAACGCCCCGCAAGGGGAGUGGCAGACGGGUGAGUAACGCGUGGGAACCUUCCCAAAGGUGCGGAAUAGCUCAGGGAAACUUGGGGUAAUACCGCAUAAUGCCGAGAGGCCAAAGAUUUAUCGCCUUUGGAUGGGCCCGCGUCGGAUUAGCUAGUUGGUGAGGUAACGGCUCACCAAGGCGACGAUCCGUAGCCGGUUUGAGAGAAUGACCAGCCACACUGGGACUGAGACACGGCCCAGACUCCUACGGGAGGCAGCAGUGGGGAAUCUUGGACAAUGGGCGCAAGCCUGAUCCAGCCAUGCCGCGUGAGUGACGAAGGCCUUAGGGUUGUAAAGCUCUUUUGCCGGGGACGAUAAUGACGGUACCCGGAGAAUAAGUCCCGGCUAACUUCGUGCCAGCAGCCGCGGUAA
RNAcentral lists this ribosomal RNA (447 nucleotides) under uncultured bacterium. Its description in RNAcentral is "partial 16S ribosomal RNA". It matches the Rfam family "Bacterial small subunit ribosomal RNA", at positions 29 to 523 of the family's 1533-position model. The record is from RNAcentral.